GCAGUCGAACGCUGAAGCCUGGUGCUUGCACCGGGUGGAUGAGUGGCGAACGGGUGAGUAACACGUGAGUAACCUGCCCCUGACUUCGGGAUAAGCCCGGGAAACUGGGUCUAAUACCGGAUACGACUGCCGGACGCAUGUCUGGUGGUGGAAAGUUUUUUCGGUUGGGGAUGGGCUCGCGGCCUAUCAGUUUGUUGGUGAGGUAAUGGCUCACCAAGACGACGACGGGUAGCCGGCCUGAGAGGGCGACCGGCCACACUGGGACUGAGACACGGCCCAGACUCCUACGGGAGGCAGCAGUGGGGAAUAUUGCACAAUGGGGGAAACCCUGAUGCAGCGACGCAGCGUGCGGGAUGACGGCCUUCGGGUUGUAAACCGCUUUCAGCAGGGAAGAAGCGCAAGUGACGGUACCUGCAGAAGAAGUACCGGCUAACUACGUGCCAGCAGCCGCGGUAAUACGUAGGGUACGAGCGUUGUCCGGAAUUAUUGGGCGUAAAGAGCUCGUAGGUGGUUGGUCACGUCUGCUGUGGAAACGCAACGCUUAACGUUGCGCGUGCAGUGGGUACGGGCUGACUAGAGUGCAGUAGGGGAGUCUGGAAUUCCUGGUGUAGCGGUGAAAUGCGCAGAUAUCAGGAGGAACACCGGUGGCGAAGGCGGGACUCUGGGCUGUAACUGACACUGAGGAGCGAAAGCAUGGGGAGCGAACAGGAUUAGAUACCCCUGGUAGUCCAUGCCGUAAACGUUGGGCACUAGGUGUGGGGGGGCAUUUCCACGUUCUCCCGCGCCGUAGCUAACGCAUUAAGUGCCCCGCCUGGGGAGUACGGUCGCAAGGCUAAAACUCAAAGGAAUUGACGGGGGGCCCGCACAAGCGGCGGAGCAUGCGGAUUAAUUCGAUGC
This 897-nucleotide ribosomal RNA is filed under the name uncultured bacterium. RNAcentral describes it as "bacterial SSU rRNA". It matches the Rfam family "Bacterial small subunit ribosomal RNA", at positions 57 to 957 of the family's 1533-position model. The record is from RNAcentral.